RNAcentral lists this ribosomal RNA (448 nucleotides) under uncultured bacterium. Its description in RNAcentral is "bacterial SSU rRNA". It matches the Rfam family "Bacterial small subunit ribosomal RNA", at positions 8 to 456 of the family's 1533-position model. The record is from RNAcentral.
AGACUUUGAUCCUGGCUCAGAUUGAACGCUGGCGGCAUGCCUAACACAUGCAAGUCGAACGAUGACGAAACAGCUUGCUGUUUCUGAUUAGUGGCGGACGGGUGAGUAAUGUAUAGGGAUCUGCCUAGUAGUGGGGGACAACAGCCGGAAACGGCUGCUAAUACCGCAUACGCUCUACGGAGGAAAGCGGGGGCUCGUAAGACCUCGUGCUAUUAGAUGAACCUAUAUCAGAUUAGCUAGUUGGUGGGGUAAGGGCCUACCAAGGCGACGAUCUGUAGCUGGUCUGAGAGGAUGAUCAGCCACACUGGGACUGAGACACGGCCCAGACUCCUACGGGAGGCAGCAGUGGGGAAUAUUGGACAAUGGGCGCAAGCCUGAUCCAGCAAUGCCGCGUGUGUGAAGAAGGCCUUCGGGUUGUAAAGCACUUUCAAUAGGGAGGAAAAGGAUG